This 164-nucleotide small nuclear RNA is filed under the name Neogale vison (American mink). RNAcentral's name for it is "Neovison vison (American mink) U1 spliceosomal RNA (ENSNVIG00000010356.1)". It matches the Rfam family "U1 spliceosomal RNA". Rfam says of the family: U1 is a small nuclear RNA (snRNA) component of the spliceosome (involved in pre-mRNA splicing). Its 5' end forms complementary base pairs with the 5' splice junction, thus defining the 5' donor site of an intron. The record is from Rfam by way of RNAcentral. Lineage: Eukaryota; Metazoa; Chordata; Mammalia; Carnivora; Mustelidae.
CAUUUUAGAAGAGAGGGGAGAUACCAUGAUCACGAAGGUGGUUUUCCCAGGGUGAGGCUUAUCCAUUGCACUCCGGAUGUGCUGACCCCUGCGAUUUCCCCAAAUGUGGGAAACUCGACUGCAUAAUUUGUGGUAGUGGGGGACUGCGUUCGCGCUUUCCCCUG